AUGGCUCGGCUGGCCCUCCUCUCCGUCUUCUUCUUUUUGCUCAUCAUCACCGGCCUUGUGGCUGCCGCUCCGUCCAGUGGGAAGGUCGGCAAGAAGGUGACCAUGACCGUCCAGUUCCCGCCUGCCGACUCGCCACCGGGGGAGAUGAUCACGAUCUCAACGCACUACGUCCGCGAGGACGGGGUGCACGACAGCCACGUCCAUGUCGACUGCGACGACCACGAGCCCCAGCUCGGUUCCGCCGCAAAAUAUCUUGUGAGGAGCCUGGAGAAGAUACGAGAUGAGGAGGCGUCUCCAUCCGAGGCCUACAACAUGCCCAGUCAGUGGAUGGACGUUCUCUUUGAAUUGGUCUCAGGGAAAAUUAGGCGCGAUUUACUUUAUUAUCGUAGUAUUGUCUCUGCAAGGAGCUCCUUCGCUCGUGCGAACAAUCAAUCGGUCUACUGA
Molecule: ribosomal RNA, 444 nt
Filed under: Triticum aestivum (bread wheat)
Lineage: Eukaryota; Viridiplantae; Streptophyta; Magnoliopsida; Poales; Poaceae
Description: partial small subunit ribosomal RNA
Source: RNAcentral